CAGUAUUUUCACGGCCGGAUGAAAAACGUACCCAAUUUAAACAGGUUACUACUCUGGCCCAGAAAAUAGAAUAUUAUUAGUAGAUUUGGAUAGAAAACACUCUGAAGUUUCUAAAACUGUUUGAAUGGUGUCUGUGAGUAUAACAGAACUCAUAUGGCAGGCAAAAACCCUGAGAAAGAUUGAAUCAGGAAGUGGGAGAAAUUAGAAAUGUUGUUUUUCUUUUGAAUCCCUUGAAAAAAUACAGUGACAUAGGAUUUACGUUGCACCUCCUUCGUUGUUUUUUAUUUUUCUUCUGGGAUGAAUACCUAUUGCCCGGUUGUAAAAUUAUCGCAAUUUUACGUAAAAAAAUACCCUAAAGGGUUGAUUGUAAACAUCGUUUGGCGUGUUUCUACAAAUGGUAAUGGAACUUUGAACAUUUCGUCUAUGGAUUUGCAUCCACGCCACAUGGCAUUGUAAAGUGUUCUGGAUGGGUCAACAAAACUGACAUAUUUGGACAUAAAUGAUGGACUUUGCAGAACAAAUUAACAUUUCUUGUGGAAGUGGGAGCCCUUCCGAGUGCAUUCCGCCGAAGAUCAGCAAAGACCUGGUAUCCAUUGAGAUGUCAGGUGUUGAAGUUAAUCAAUUCCCACCCACACUCUGAGGGGGUGCUAUUUAGAGAGCUAUGGACAUCUUCCAUAAGAUUGAAGGUCCCGGAGUGAACGUAACACUUGUACACUUGCAAAGCCGACUAAAAACGAGGGCUGAGGGGCUUACGUUGCAAACUUCCCUUGCUUGGCUAAUCAUUUGGACUGCCCUCCAAGAUGGUGACGGGGAUUGCCCCAAGAUCAUAAGGCGAGGGUAAGUGGAGGAGGAUGCGUCUUUUAAGUGUUUGGACCGCAGCCAAGGACAAUAAUAAUUGUUUCUUGAGAGGUAUAUGUGUGAUCAUGCACAAUACUGAAAGGAGUUAAAUAGAUGCACAUAGUAAUUCACCACUGGUUAGAGAGAGAGGAAUAUGAUGUGACCAGUUUGGCAGCAGACCAUAAUAUAAGUAAGUGUUUAUGAGUGAGCAAAGUUUUAAUUGAGUGUAAAAUGCACUGUAAAUUAUAAUCUGUAUCUAUUAGCUCUGCGGUGUCCGUCCAUUAAUUAUAUAUUACAUCCCUCAGACAAAGGGGCCACUUCUGAUUGACCGGAGCGCUGAAAAUGACAGCUGAGGUCAAGCUAUUGAAUGCUGACUGGGUGCCAUUGGGCAUUGAUAUUCAUGUCAUUUGAGGAGCCAAAUCUAUGGACAGGCUGAGGAUGUCCUUAUUGAUCACAGAUCCAGGAUCACAGUCACUGCAUUAUAAAGAGGGCCUCUCUGACCUGAUGAAAGACUUCUCCCACAAGUUCUGAAAACUUUGAGUGGGAGGUAAUGGAGCCUACAGAGGAGACAGUGAUCAGUGAGGGCAGGAAGGAAGGAGACAGUGGAGAGAAGAGGAUCAGCCAUUAAAGGUGAGCUGAGCGGGAAUGCAUGGUUCCCUCCACACCCACGCCAUUCUGCUACAGGAUAAACAAGAGUGAGAGAGAGAGAGAAAGAUCAAGAAAUGCAUCAGAUUUCAUUUCAAAGAGACAAAAAUGGGGAAGUGCAUUAAGAAUUCAAAUCAAACACAAAGUAAAGCAAAUACCAUCAGCCGCAAAUCAUCGGCUCCCUCUGAAACAGAAUCAAAGCAAGUCUCCCCCUAAAAUCCUGAAAGCGGCUUCAGAUAAUAGAAUUUGAAUGUGCAGAAUUGUUUUACAAUUUGUUUUCCAUUUGGUGUCUAAAAGGUGACAUGCUUACCAAGCAUCAAGCUACUUUGAACUUUUUACUUCUGAGGUGUCAUUCUGGUAUGUAACAAUACUAUACCACAUAGUGUAUUUCCUUGAUAUCAUGCUCCCAUUUUCCACUAUACAAAAUUUGCAGCUUCUGUGGUCCCAACCUGGUCUCAGAGCAUUUCAUAUUAUUCUGAACGUAAACCAUUUCAUAUGCUAUAUUACGAUUUACAAUUUGCAUUAUAUGUUACGUAUUUGACAAACGUACAAUAUGUUACGAAUUUGCAAAACAUAUGAUAUGUUACAAAUUCUAGCUAGUUGGCUAACGUUAGCUGUUACGAAUUUGCAAAUGUACAAUAUGUUACGAAUUUGCUAAACAUAUGAUAUGUUACGAAUUCUAGCUAGGUGACUAACAUUAGCUAGCUGGCUAACGUUAGCAAGACUAUGGGUUAGGAUUAAGGUUAGGUUUAAGUUUAAGAGUUAGGUUAAAGUGUUAGGGGAAGGGUUAGUUAAAAGGCGUAAGGUUAGGGUUAGGGGAAGCAUUAGCUAACAUGCUAAGUAGUUGUAAAGCUGCUAAAAAGUUGCAAGUAGUUGAAAAGAUGCUAAUUAGCCAAAAUUAUAAAGUUGUCCGUGAGGAGAUUCGAACUCGCAACCUUUGGGUUGCUAGACAUUCUACUUUCGUUUUUGCUUUAACCUGUCUGGGCUAGGGGGCAGUAUUUUCACGGCCGGAUGAAAAACGUACCCAAUUUAAACAGGUUAUUACUCUGGCCCAGAAACUAGAAUAUGCAUAUUAUUAGCAGAUUUGGAUAGAAAACACUCUGAAGUUUCUAAAACUGUUUGAAUGGUGUCUGUGAGUAUAACAGAACUCAUAUGGCAGGCAAAAACCUGAGAAAAAGUCAACCAGGAAGUGGAGGAUCUGAGAAUUGUAUUUCUUCUUUCUAGUCCCUUUCGAAACUACAGUAUCUGUGGGGUUACUUUGCACUUCCUAAGGCUUCCAUUGGCUGUCAAAAGCCUUCAGAAAGUGGUUUGAGCAUUCUCCUGUCACUGGGCAGAUAAUAGGAGCUCAGUUACUGAGUGGACUGCCUGGCAACAAAGCGAUUGGAUAUGCUCGAUCCCGCGAGUGCGCCCCUCCUUCUUUUUCUCCUUGAAUGAAUACGCUAUUGUCCGGUUGGAAUAUUAUCGCAAUUUUACAUAAAAAAUACCAUAAAGACUGAUUUUAAACAGCGUUUGACAUGCUUCUAAGUACAGUAAUGGAACAUUUAGACUUUUCGUCUCUGGUACCGCACUCGCGCGUUAUGCCUUUGGAUAGUGCUCUGAACGCACGAACAAAACGGAGGUAUUUGGACAUAAAUAUGUAUUAUUUCAAACAAAAACAACAUUUCUUGUGGAAGUAGCAGUCCUGGGAGUGCAUUCUGACGAAGAUCAGCAAACGUAAGAGAAUAUUUCUAAUACUAAUUCUGAGUUUAGGUUGCCCCGAACUUGACGGGUGUCUGUAUAGCUCUCUGUGAUGGCUGAGCUAUGUACUCAGAAUAUUGAAAAAUGUGCUUUCUCCGUAAAGCUAUUUUAAAAUCUGACAAAGCGGUUGCAUCCAGGAGUAGUCUAUCUAUAAUUCUUUAAAUAAUUGUUAUAUAUUUUGUCAACGUUUAUGAUGAGUAUUUUUGUAAAUUGAUGUGCACAAUCACCGGACGUUUGGUGGGAAUACAUUUUCUGAACAUCACGCGCCAAUGUAAAAUGCUGUUUUUGGAUAUAAAUAUGAACUUUAUCGAACAAAACAUACAUGUAUUGUGUAACAUAAUGUCCUAGGAGUGUCAUCUGAUGAAGAUCGUCAAAGGUUAGUGCUUCAUUUAGCUGUGUUUUGGGUUUUAUUGACACAUGUCCUUGCUUGGAAAAUGGCUGUGUGAUUAUUUUUGUCUAUGUACUCUCCUAACAUAAUCAAAUGUUUUGCUUUCGAUGUAAAGCCUUUUUGAAAUCGGACACUGUGGUUACAUCAAGGAAAAGUGUAUCUUUAAAAUGGUAUAAAAUAGUUGUUUGUUUGAGAAAGUUGAAUUAUGACAUUUUGUUGUUUUUGAAUUUGCCGCCCUGAUAUUUCACUGGCUGUGUCCCGCAGGUGGGUCCCACGUAGCCCAUAGAAGCUAAGUAACCACCUGUCAUAUGUAACCAUACCAAACGUAACAUAUCAUAUUAAUUUGGGUGUACCGGAUUUAAUUUACUAUGUUACGUCUUGUCUAUGAGACCAGGUUGGUGGUAUAGGGCUUCGGUAUGGGAGACCAAUGCAAUAUCUUUACCUGAAAUUCCUUUGACCUCCUAAUCUAAUUUACACAAACUAGGUUACAUUCAUUUCAUAUACCAACCCUGCAUGCCUGGAGUCGAUACCUCAGCUCUCCCCAAUCUGAAGUCAGCUGCCAGUUAGCUGCUACACUCUUUUAAAAAAGGGUUUCCCCUUUCCCCUCUAUGGAAAGGGUUCUACAUGGAACCCUUAAGGGUUCUACCCAGAACAGAAAAGGGUUAUUCAAAGGGUUCUCCAAUAGGGAAAGCCGAAUAACCCUUUUAGCUUCCAGAUAGCACCUUUUUUUCAAAGAGUGUAGCGACAUCCCAUUACGCAGAGGUUGACAACAGUCUUUUGGGGCAACACUAGCUCUGAACAGCACCUUUUCUGCCCCACCACUUUCAUACAGUCAUGUAGUAUGUUUUCAUAGUUAAUCACAAACGGUGAUAGCAGAAAACAGGUUACCAUUACAUGGCAGCUCUCUGAAGUGUUAGUGUGCAGGAUUGGCAGCUGAGUGCAGACACUUGGACAUCUGUAAUCACAUGACCGUUGCGGUUUCCUCCCUGUCUCUACAGCAGUACACCAGGGAUCAUUUUGACCUCAGAGCCUGUGUAAGGAGCACUACCCCAUAACCUUAUUAAUAUUUCAUAUUGACAUAUAUUACCAAACAAACUAACUCAGGUUUCUACACACUGUUGUUGGUAUCACUAAGAAAAAAUGUGAUGAUUUUAAUAAACUAUCACAAAUAUCUCUCUAAUGUAUGCCUUGGCCUAUUCAGUUUCUUCUCAUUUUCAUCCUUUUCACCUUCUCUCCUUCAAGUUUGAAUGUAUGUGAAUUUAAACACUAAGGAAAGCUCUUGUGUUGGUUUAGAAUAAGUGAAUGUGAAUUCCAGAACCACAGAGUGCAUAUUUUGGUUUGGAAUUCAGGACCAAGGACAACAGCAUCUGAGCACAUUGCAUUAUCAAAGGACUUCAGGAACAGAAGACCCAGUGAACCUUGAUGUGGGUGGGUGGUAGCUGACCUUGCAGUACUGUAUUGCCACAAUGUCUACAGGCCACAUACAUAGUUAAGUAGGUACACCCAUCUAGUACCGGGUCGGAUCCCCCUUUGCCUCCAGAACAGCCUGGAUUCUUCGGGGCAUGGAUUCUACAAGGUAUCGGAAAUGUUCCACAGGGAUGGC
This 5210-nucleotide long non-coding RNA is filed under the name Salmo salar (Atlantic salmon). Its description in RNAcentral is "lncRNA (ENSSSAG00000098181.1, ENSSSAG00000115013.1)". Lineage: Eukaryota; Metazoa; Chordata; Actinopteri; Salmoniformes; Salmonidae. The record is from RNAcentral.